CCUACGGGAGGCAGCAGUGGGGAAUCUUGCGCAAUGGGCGGAAGCCUGACGCAGCAACGCCGCGUGUGGGAAGACGGCUUUCGGGUUGUAAACCACUUUCAGGGGGGACGAAGCUUCCGAGGUUAAUAGCCUACGGGGUGACGGUACCCCCAGAAGAAGCCCCGGCUAACUACGUGCCAGCAGCCGCGGUAAUACGUAGGGGGCGAGCGUUGUCCGGAAUCAUUGGGCGUAAAGCGCGUGUAGGCGGCUUGAUAAGUCUGGUGUGAAAUCUUGGGGCUUAACCCCAAGCCUGCACUGGAUACUGUCAAGCUUGAGUCCGGGAGGGGAGAGCGGAAUUCCUAGUGUAGCGGUGAAAUGCGCAGAUAUUAGGAAGAACACCGGUGGCGAAGGCGGCUCUCUGGAACGGUACUGACGCUGAGACGCGAAAGCGUGGGGAGCGAACAGGAUUAGAUACCCUGGUAGUCCACGCCGUAAACGAUGGGCACUAGAUGUGGGCGGUGUCGACUCCGUCCGUGUCGAAGCUAACGCAUAGUGCCGCCGUGGNGUACGCCGCGAGACGAAACGACAAUAAGUAGUAGUUACGGCGUGAGACGUGCCGACGGCGACGACGAGGGAGGAGG
RNAcentral lists this ribosomal RNA (620 nucleotides) under uncultured bacterium. Its description in RNAcentral is "bacterial SSU rRNA". The stretch from base 1 to 539 matches the Rfam family "Bacterial small subunit ribosomal RNA", at positions 338 to 873 of the family's 1533-position model. The record is from RNAcentral.